AAAAUGAAUCUUAGUUCCCUCUUGACCUCCCUCCCCGGACACAACCCUAACCUUAAUGUAGCGUAUCAAGAGUAAUUUAAAGGAGGUACAGCUCCUUUAAAAAAGGGUACAACCUACAUUAGUGGAUAAUCACCCAACUUCUACCCCCAGACUGUAGGCCCUUAAGCAGCCAUCAAUAAAGAGUGCGUCAAAGCUCCAAACACAAAAAUCCAACAACAUCAUGACUCCCUUCCCACUAACAGGCUAACCUAUGCCAAUAGGAGCAUCAAUGCUAAAAUGAGUAACUAGGGACUUCCCUCUCAAGCGCAAACUUACACUCUACAUUAUUAACAGACAAUAGGCCAAUAUCCUCACUAUAACAAGACCAAAAUAUUAAACCCACCCUGUUACCCCAACUAAAGGAGCGCUCACUAGAAGGAUUAAAAUCUGUAAAAGGAACUAGGCAAACCCAAGGCCCGACUGUUUACCAAAAACAUAGCCUUCAGCCCACCAAGUAUUGAAGGUGAUGCCUGCCCAGUGACAUAAUGUUUAACGGCCGCGGUAUCCUAACCGUGCGAAGGUAGCGCAAUCAAUUGUCCCAUAAAUCGAGACUUGUAUGAAUGGCUAAACGAGGUCUUAACUGUCUCUUACAGAUAAUCAGUGAAAUUGAUCUUCCCGUGCAAAAGCAGGAAUUGUAACAUAAGACGAGAAGACCCUGUGGAACUUAAAAAUCAACGGCCACUGCAUACAAACUUAACCCUACUAGGCUUACUAUUCCUAAAUGCUGGCCCGUAUUUUUCGGUUGGGGCGACCUUGGAGAAAAACAAAUCCUCCAAAAAUAAGACCACACCUCUUAACCAAGAGCAACCACUCAACGUACCAACAGUGACCAGACCCAAUACAAUUGAUCAAUGGACCAAGCUACCCCAGGGAUAACAGCGCAAUCUCCUCUAAGAGCCCCCAUCGACGAGGAGGUUUACGACCUCGAUGUUGGAUCAGGACAUCCUAAUGGUGCAGCCGCUA
This 1002-nucleotide ribosomal RNA is filed under the name Brachyramphus perdix. Its description in RNAcentral is "partial 16S ribosomal RNA". The stretch from base 403 to 1002 matches the Rfam family "Archaeal large subunit ribosomal RNA", at positions 1423 to 2633 of the family's 2987-position model. The record is from RNAcentral. Lineage: Eukaryota; Metazoa; Chordata; Aves; Charadriiformes; Alcidae.